Molecule: ribosomal RNA, 253 nt
Filed under: uncultured bacterium
Lineage: Bacteria
Description: partial 16S ribosomal RNA
Rfam family: Bacterial small subunit ribosomal RNA
Source: RNAcentral
UACGUAGGGUGCGAGCGUUGUCCGGCAUUACUGGGCGUCAAGAGCUCGUAGGUGGUUUGUCGCGUUGUUCGUGAAAACUCACAACUCAAUUGUGGGCGUGCGGGCGAUACGGGCAGACUGGAGUACUGCAGGGGAGGCUGGAAUUCCUGGUGUAGCGGUGGAAUGCGCAGAUAUCAGGAGGAACACCGAUGGCGAAGGCAGGUCUCUGGGCCGAUACUGACGCUGAGGAGCGAAAGCGUGGGGAGCGAACAGG